GCAAUGUCUGAAAAUGCUGGCUGGUUAUUUCUACGAGUUCUCACGUGCUGUCGCAGAAGUUCUCAGUUUUAUUCCAGCUUUCUUGUUAAAGGAUACUGCCAGGCAAUGUCUUAAGGGGAAGCACCUGGUCACUGAUGGUAGAAAUCAGACGCUUCAUGCACUCUGCUAAGCACUUUACAUUUAACCAUCUCAAAAAUUCUAUGAGAUCCAGCAUAGGCAGCAACCAUCUGCGGAUCACUUUGUAGUGCCCACCAGGUAGCCCUGAGCAAUCAAAGACAGCAGCUGACUUUGGACUACUGAGGAGCCCCUCCCAAGGUACUACAAAAACAACAUACCUGGAG
Molecule: long non-coding RNA, 341 nt
Organism: Pteropus alecto (black flying fox)
Lineage: Eukaryota; Metazoa; Chordata; Mammalia; Chiroptera; Pteropodidae
Exons: 3
Source: RefSeq, a predicted model, not a curated record